CAAGAGUUUGAUCCUGGCUCAGGACGAACGCUGGCGGCGUGCUUAACACAUGCAGGUCGAACGAGAGUUAGAUCGAAUGAGUUUUCGGACAAAUGAGAUUUAACGAAAGUGGCGAACGGGUGAGUAACACGUGAGCAACCUGCCUUACACAGGGGGAUAGCCAUUGGAAACGGUGAUUAAUACCCCAUAAGACCACAAUACCGCAUGGUAAAAGGGUAAAAGGGAUACCGGUGUAAGAUGGGCUCGCGUCUGAUUAGCUAGUUGGUGGGGUAAAGGCCUACC
Molecule: ribosomal RNA, 282 nt
Filed under: uncultured bacterium
Lineage: Bacteria
Description: partial 16S ribosomal RNA
Rfam family: Bacterial small subunit ribosomal RNA
Source: RNAcentral